This 7946-nucleotide long non-coding RNA is filed under the name Nicotiana benthamiana. Its description in RNAcentral is "long non-coding RNA (NBEN_LNC029571)". Lineage: Eukaryota; Viridiplantae; Streptophyta; Magnoliopsida; Solanales; Solanaceae. The record is from RNAcentral.
ACUAACCCUACCCAAUGCCCUAAAAUCCUACCCUACUGCUUCUUCAAAAACUCUAGAGAGUCCACAGCAGCAGCUGGAACAAGACCCCACCCCCUGACCUUCUUCUUCUUACCUAAGACAUCAAAUCCAAGAGGAGACCGAACCCUAGAGAAAAACACUCCAGCAGCCGCACCCUCCAAGCAACGAAGCCAACGACCAACCCUCUAUCAACUGCCAAUCAGCCAGUCAUCGCUGCUGAACCAAACCAUCUGAAAACUGCCUUGUUCUUCAACAUACAACCAUGUCGGUCACCACCCCAAUCUCUCACGCUCGUUCCCUUAUCUCUCCCUCCUCAUUCCUCUCAUUCCCUUUCUUUGUUACUGCCACCGCCAGAGAAACCAUCCGAGCUCGCCGAAAACCAACAGCAACCUAAGAGAGUGGAGACAGGCGUCGACGAGGAAUUUCGAUCAAGCUCUGGUCUCGAUUCAUGUUCAGGCACUGUUACUGUAUUCGAAAAGGCAAUCACUGUGAGGUUCAUCCCUUACUUUGACUUAAAAACAAUUCCAUCUGUUUUCUUAUCAAUGUUUGGUAAUCAUGAUUGUCGUAUGACUAUUCUGCUAGUUUUGUGGUUUGCUUGAAACUAUUUCUUAAUUUGAUUUGUUUUGUUUAAUUUGAAUUUGAUGCAUUAUCAAGAAAAAAAUUAGCUAGUUAACUUGUUAGAUCUGUUUGGUUAAUAAUUUUGGGUUAAAGUUGAGCCACAACAGUGAUUGACAUUAAUGGUAGUUGGGCUUGAAUUGAUUUAAGUAAUUAAUAGGUUGAAUGAAAAUCAAUUAAAGUUUAGAUUCUCUCGUUGUAGUGUUGGUUCAUGAACCAUGAUUUGGGUGUGGCUUCAAUUUUACUCUAUUAGGCUUAGAAAACUUCUUACCUUCAUUUUAAUUUUAUAAAUAUUAACGCUAGUAGUAUGCUUGGCCGUCAUUACAUGGGUACGCAAGCCAUAGAUUGGAUGACGAGAAAAAGCGUAGAAUAGAACUUUAAUAUUUUCUUUUAUUUAUUUUAUUUUUGUAGAUGGGGACGACCUCUGACCUCUUAUGUAUUUAUGUUGUUUUUAUGUUUUUACCGCAAUUGAAUAUUUUAAAAGAUGACCAGUUAAGGGACUUGGGGAGUGCCUAAUACCUUCUUCCCGAGUCAAAUGAACCCCUUACCCGAAUCUCUGGUGCAAACUUAGUUUUGGAGUCUCAAGUAUUUUUAAAGAAAAAACUUAGUUUUUAGAAAAACGGUGACCUGACACAGCAAAACCCAUGUCACGUGGCGACUCUGAGUUAUUUCCUUUAAACACUAUCUCUUGUCACUUUCAAAAAUAAAAACCCCUUUCGAGCUUUACAAAUUUCUUUUUAUUAAUUUAAGAGGGUUAAGUGAGUUCUUUUUUAAAAAGGGGUGUGACAUCUCUGACGACUCUGCUGAAAAUUUGUAGGUUCGAGCUAUUACUUGAUCUUGUUGGAUUUUAGGAUAUUAGGUUGAGGUUUUUAUGUGUUUUUUUUGCUUUACUUGGUUUUUAUUUUUGUUUAUAUCUUUUUAUUAUUUCCUAUACGCUUAUUUGUUUACAGUUUUUCUUUAUGUGUUACUGCUUCAUAAAUUGUCAUCAUUUGCAUAACCACGGGUCUUUUUUUUGUAACAAGUCUUUUGGAGUAAAUUUGAGCGUACACAGCCUUUUUGUGAGUCACCCAUGUCUUUAAGGGGGUAGCGUGAGAGCGUGGAGUGGGAGGACAGCUAGAGCAGCUGCCAUCGACCACGUGUCGCCCCCAAUUCCCUUGUUAGUACACCCAAACUUAGGUCAGCCUUUAGGUCAUUUUUAUUUGUAUCAUGUCAUUUACACCUUGUAGGGUUCGGUCCCAGGCAGUGUGUCCCUUUGUAGGAAGUCUAUACAAGUUUUGUCAAAAAUGGGCUCGUUGCCCAAAAGACAUUCAAUCAUCCCUAUACGAUACAUAUUGCAUCUUUGAGGGUAAAAGGGUCGCUUGACGGACUGAUGCUUGGGAAAGUGGUGAAAAUGAAGCAAGUAGGGUCCAAUUAUAUUUUUCUUUACAACUUUUUAAAGAAAAGUCAAAAAAUUGAAAAUGAAAAAAUCCAAAAAGAUUUUAUACUUUUCCAUUAUUUUUCAAAACUUCAAAAAAAGGAGAAAAAGAAAAUCUAAAAAGAUUUUACAUUUUCAAUAAGGAGAAAAAGAAAAUCCAAAAGAUUUUUCAUUUUCUAUCAUUUCUCAAAAAGACAAAAAAAAUAUGAUUUUCCAAAUUAGUUGCUUUUUUAAAAGGCUUUCUCCCAUAUCCAAUCUUUUCGAAUUACACGAAUCUGAUUCUCGUCUUUCGAGACGUGACACGGAGGAAACCCACAUAGGGUCCGAUUUUCCAAGUGAGCUUUAGGUCCUUGGAUCUGCGGGGUCUUAGCCAAAUCUUGCAUGUCUAGCCGCUUUUGGGCAUAUCGGCCAUUGUUGCAAAAUGGGGCCUUUUUGCAAAAAUGGUUCAAUUACCCAUAUUUUAGGAUUUUGUGUCUACAACUAUGUGUCAUAUUACUUUAGGGUUCUUCCUUUUGAGUUUGCAUCUUUAGCCACUUUCAGCCACCUAUGCUAUUUUUUCAAAAUGGGUUAUUUUCGCAAAUUAAUUUAGGGCCAUGAUUAUUGUGUAUUUAAAUCCAUAUAAGCCUUAGUAAGGUCAUAUCUUUGAGUUCACCUUUGUUGAGUUUUCACUUCUAGCCACUCUUGGCUACGUAGGUUAAUUUUUAAUAAAUAACUUAAUCGUGUCUUGCAUGUGUCCAACAAGAGGUGUUGUGGUGUCGCAUAGUGUCUCGGGUCAUUUAUCUAUUUGGUAUUAUUUUUCUCAUUCAGGUAUGAAUUUAUUUACUGGAGCUCGAGCGUAACAGGUACCCUGGGACCAUCACAUUUGGGAGCUGUUUCAAGAGACUUUUUAUUUUUGAGUCUUUUUUUUUUUAAUUUUUUGCUAUCUAUUGUUGGAUGGUAGUUUCAGUCUUUUAGUUGGUGUAACCGUUUGUCGUAGUAUGGUUGAGUUUGUCAAGUCUUGCGCCAUCAUACUUCUUGUUUUGUAUUUGAAAAACCAAAAAAAGUUAUAAAUGAAAAAUUCAAAAAGAUUUUUGUUUUAUUUGUCCACUACCUUUUCCAGAACUAUGCGUGAUCUGAUUCAAGAAUUCUUGAAUCAUUUUUUCUAUCUCCCAUUUCAAAGCGCGACAAUCUUCAAUGUUAUGCCCUUGGACAUUAGAGUGGUACAUGUACCGUACAGUAAGAUCAAACCCUUUUGCAUAUGGGUUCGGAGUAUCGAUGAGCAGCUCAAUCAGACCAGACUGUAUUAACUUUUCAAACAAGCUUGUGUAGGAUUCUCCAAUUUGAGUGAAAGACUUUUCUCUUUGUUGCUGCCUUCUCAUUUUGUACUCCGGCCUUAGUUGGAACCUUUUUCGGGUAGGGGGUUGAUAUGCUUGUAGAGGUGGGUAACACAUUUGUGGAGGCGGUGGAAGACGUUGCCGGUUUUCUGUGUGUGUAGCAUAUGGCAGUGCAUUGUGGAUAGAGUACUGGGGAGGUGAGGUAUGACUUCAGGGAAUCUGUGGAGGAAAGUUGUAACGACCCGACCAGUCGUGUUGAGAAAUUAAGCUCCGUUCAGCAGCAUAAGGUUUGUAAUAGCUUAUUAAAAUGAGUAUCGAUUUGCGUGCAUGGUGAAAUUUGGCUUUCGGAUGGUUUAGAGUCAAAUUGGAAGAAGCAACCUUGUUUUGGAAGUCUGAACAGUGACAAGUUGACCGAAAUUGGACAUUUGAGCAAAAGAUCCCAAAAUGAGUUGUGGACGACCCCAAGAACUUCAUAUGGUAAUUUUGGACUUAGGCGCACGUCCGGAUUUAGAUUUGGAUGAUCGUAGAGUGAAUUGAGGCAUCUCGACGAAAGUUGAAGUUGGAAAAUGAAGAAGUUUGACGCACAGUUGAUUUUUGUGAUAUCGGGGUCGGAAUGCAUUUUCGAGAGUUGGAGAAGCUCCGUUAUAUUAUUUUGGACUUCUUCACAAAAUUUGGCGUCAUUCCAGACUGAGUUGAUAGGUUUCGGCAUGAUAUUUGAUAUUUGAAGAUUGAGAAGUGCAUAAGCUUGAUUUUGUGUUUGAUUCGUCGUUUUGAUGUUGUGUUAUGUGUUUUGAAACUUUGAGCGAGUCCGUGUUAGGUUAUAUGACUUGUGUGUGUGAUUAGACGGGGUCAUGAGAGCCUCGGGUGUGUUUCAGAUGGGCUACGGAUCAUUUUUCCUCCAUUUUGGACUGCUGUAACUGCUGCUUCUGAUAUCCUUCUAUGUGAUCACGAUGAUUCUCCCGUGGUUGCGAUGCCUUGCAGAAGACCACCUCAAAAUCAUCACGUUCGCAUCUGUCUACUCGCAUUCGUGAAGCUCUGUUUAGUUCUUCAUCGCGUUCGCAUUAAGCCUUCCUCGAUCGCGAAGGUCUAUUCUUCUUUACUUGUUCUGACCAUCUAUCAGAGAAAAAAGAACCUAUUGGCCUGUGCAACACCAUCUAUAAAUCAAUCAUGAAAAUUAUUGUAAACAGGAUAAAACCUAUCCUACCCCACAUCAUUGGGCCAAGCCAAGAAAGUUUUCUCACUAACAAAAGGGUCAAUGACAAUGCAAUCAUUGUCCAAGAAUAUGUCAAUCACUUCAGGAAAAUGAAGGGUAAGAGUGGUAACAUGAUCCUAAAAUUAAACCUUGGCCUGUGCAACACCAUCUAUAAAUCAAUCAUGAAAAUUAUUGUGAACAGGAUAAAACCUAUCCUACCCCACAUCAUUGGGCCAAGCCAAGAAAGUUUUCUCACUAACAAAAGGGUCAAUGACAAUGCAAUCAUUGUCCAAGAAUAUGUCAAUCACUUCAGGAAAAUGAAGGGUUUCACGAUUGAAUCUAUUUUCCCGCGUUCGCAUAGUGGAAUUUAGGACUUGGGGGCCCUCUUCGCGUUCGCUUAAGCUCCUACGUGAUUGCAUAAGCCACCAUCUCAUUACCCUUCACGUUCUCAUCCCUCUUCACGCGAACACGAUGUACAUUUCUAGGCUUUCUCGAAUUUCCUCUACGCGAUCGCGACCAUUGUUCCGUCGCGAUGAACAAAUCACUGGGCAGAUAGAUUAAAUCCCAAGUCUGAGGGUUCCACCAUUUUUAUCAUAUUUUGACUUCUAAAGCUCGGUUCUUGGAAAUUUUUGAAGGGAUUUUCACCUGGGCGUCUUGGGUAAGUUCUUCUCACUCGACUUAGACCAAUUUCCAUGAAUCUCCUCUUAGUUUCAUCCUUUAAUUUCAUAUUUUGAAUGGAAAAUGGGUAAAACUUUAUAUACCAAAUUAUUGACUUUUGAGGGGGUAUUUGACCUUUGAUUUGAGAGAUUUUUAUAUGGUUAGAAUUGUGAGAGUACGAGGGUUUUGAAAAUGUUAUAUCCAUCCGAUUCCGAGAUGUUGGACCGAGGGGCAUUUUGGUCAUUUUAUCUAAUUUCAUGCUUUAGUUUUGAAUUAAAUAGUAGAAUUAGUUGCUUGAGAUGUUAUUUACAAGGUGUGAUUGAAUUGAAUAGAUUUGAGCCAUUUGGAGUCGAGUACUCAUGGCAAGAACGUGGUUGCUAGUUGAUUUUAGCCGGCUCGAGGUAAGUAUCUUGCCUAACCUUGUGUGGGGGACUUCCCCUUAGGAUUUGAAUCUUCUCUAUUGAUUGUAUUCCUUGUAAGCGAGGUGACAAAUGAGUGCUCGGAUUUAUUUGUGGUCAUUGCCCUUUUUAGGCUCUUAGAUCCUUGUAAUCACCGAGUAUAAAGUUGUCCUUGAUACGAUUGAGUUCCCUGUUAUUAGUUUCACCUCUAUAUGUCUUAUUUGGAAUUUAUUUGCCCUUCUUGUUUUAUUCUUGUUGCCUAAUUGAAUUUUACUUGUUUAACUGAAGAUAUUUACCCUUCCAUAGUCACAUUAUCUUUCAUAAUUGCUUGCCUUUAUUUGAAAAUUGUUAUUAUUAUCUCUCGUGUAAUUAAUUGGUCUUAAUUGAGGCUACGAUUAUCUUCCCUAUGCUCAUUCCUUCAUUGAACUUGUUGUGUACUCUUCGUAAUUUUCUCGACUUUAAAAGAAGUUAGAUAUCUUAUGUUUAGUUGAUAUUUCAUUAUUUGAAAUUAUUUGACUCAUGUUGACUUCCUUGUUGUUGAACUAUGUAUUAUGGAGUCGUUGUUGCAUAUUACUUUCUCCCUUAUUGAUUUGUUCUUAUUGUCUUAGUAUUUCUCUGCUAUGAUUAUUCCUUGUGAGUUAGUUGUACCGUCUUUUGGUGAACGGAAGUACCUGAUUCUGUUGCCUUGUUCCUGUAAAUAAUAUCGAUUGCUGUGCUGUACUUGAGAUGGUGGUGCACGAGGUUUCUGCCGUGCGGUUGUUGAUAUUGUGAUGCACGAGGUAUCUAUCGUGCGGUUGUCGAUAUUGUGAUGCACGCGGUCUCUUCCGUGCGGAUGUUGUCGAGGGGUUGCAAAAAGUCUUUGUCGUGCUAUUGUUGCUAUUGAUAUUUUGCAUAUGCGGCGUAAUAAGGCAGGAGAUGUUUUUAUGCUUAUAUGUGGGUUGCGUAUGUUGCAGAAUAAGGUGGAAACAUUAUGAUGCACGUGUAGCGAAAUAAGGCGGUGCUUAUUAUAUUAUUAUUUGCACACGUGGCGAAAUAAGAUGGCUAUGUCAGGGGUUGAUUGUAAAGAGUUGUGACGGCAUGUGGAUGCAUUCAUAUUUUGUUUGAUAUUGUGAUUUUGGGUUGCUCACCUGUAUGAGCGUUAUCGCUCGAAAAUUGUGAGGAAGCAUCGUAAAACACUUGUAAAAGCAUACACGUAAUAGAACACUCCUAUCAGAGGUGAAUUCCUCUUGAUUUUGCUAAGGGUGGAGAUACGCCCUCAUUUAUCCAUUAUAUCUGUGAGAGUGGCCCUAGUUAGCCAGUUAGUUGUCAACAUGACUGUGAGACUUUUGGGGUACAGGAUGUCAAGUGUUAGAUUUAAGAUGUUGAGAUUUCGUGAGUUGUGAUUCAUCCGAGAUUUUUGGUAAAAUUGUCGAAGGAGUUGAAUAGGACCUUAUGUGAACAUCAUUGUAAGGUAUGAGUUAUUGACUUGUUUUUCCCUUGCUGUGUUAUGACCUUAGAAUUUGAAUUGUGAUUUUUCCGUCUUUACGUAUCAUCAUUUAUUAUAUUCUCGUUGUUACUUGUUGUUCUUUUCCUUUAUUCUGAAUUGUAGCAUUAUUAGUCAUUUCGUGCCGUCUUUACAUAUUUAUAUAUCAUUUUCGUUAUUCCUAUGAUUAUACUGUUUAUUUGACCGGUAGGUGUCUUGACUGUUCCUCGUCACUACUCCACCGAGGUUAGUUUUGAUAUUUACUGGGCACCGCCGUAGUGUGCUCAUGCUACUCUUCUGCACAUUUUUGUUGUGCAGAUACAAGUACUACGACUCAGUUCUAUCAGCCUUGGAAGAAGGCGUAUCGGUAGAGACUUCGAUGUCUAUCUGCUACAUCCGCAGACCGAGGAGUCCCUUUCCAGCUUUUUGUAAUAAGUAUAGCUCCUUCAGUAUUUCUCCUUUGUAUAGACAUUCUUGAUUUAGUCUUGAUACUUACUAGGCACCGCCGUGGUAUGUUUAUGCUACUCUUCUGUACAUUUUUGUUGUACAGAUACACGUACUCCCACUCAGUUCUGUCAGCCUUGGAAGGAGGCGUAUCGGUAUAGAUUUCGAGGUAUAUCUGCUACGUCCGUAGACCGAUGAGUCCCUUUCUAGUUUUCUGUAAUAAGUAUAGCUCUUUCAAUACUUUUUCUUUGCGUAGAUAUUCUUGAGUCAGAGCCUCUUGUGUAUCCCUAAGCUUGUGAUUUGUGAGAUUCUGAAUUUUGAAAUUUUUUGUUAGCUUCGAGAGUUAUUAUUGUAUGUGCCUAACGGCACCUUAAAGGACGUCUAUCUAACAAAUAGAGCUAUCAUAUUGCAUAUAAAGGAAAGUGUAUUACCA